Molecule: non-coding RNA, 299 nt
Organism: Phascolarctos cinereus (koala)
Lineage: Eukaryota; Metazoa; Chordata; Mammalia; Diprotodontia; Phascolarctidae
Source: RefSeq, a predicted model, not a curated record
AACAGACCACUUUGUGACUGAAAUAUGGAGUAAAGGGAGGAAAAUAAUGUGAGUUUGGCCAGUUAUUAACAGAUCAGAAGGAAAAAAGUAAAGAAGGCUGGGGCCAAUAAACAAUUCUGGGGACAGUAACCAAGCUUGAAUCCAGUUCAUGCUCUUCCUGAAGUCAGAGAAGGACAAGAGAUACAGGAACAAGGGGAGAGAACAUCUUCGGAGGUUUGUGAGGCAGAUACUACAACUAUUAUUAUCCCCAUUUUUCAGAAGAGGUAUGUAAGGCUCAGAGAGCCUCGGCCAAAGUCACA